CAAGAAUGAACAUAAUAGUUGUUGCAGUUAAAAAGCUCGUAGCCGAAUUUGUUGUUGCGCGCACGAGCGCCUCACCUUUUUUUGUGUGUGGGUGCUGGUGGUGCAUCUUUUUACUGUGGCGUGGUUGAGCAGCGUUGCUACUAAGCGGAUUCAGUUCCGCCCAAGACGCCGCGAUGCCUCUUCCCUUUUUUGUGGGAGAAAGAGCGCCGCACGUUUACUGUGUCCAAAUCAGAGUGCUCAAAGCAGGCCUUUUUGAUAGCUUCUGAAUGUUCUACAUGGGAUGAUGAGAUACGAUUCGUGUUCUUUUCGGUCAUUUAGGGACGCGAUUAAUAGUUAACAGGAGCGGUUGGCGCUGUUUGAACUCUGAAGUGAGAGGUGAAAUUCUUGAAUCCUCGGAUGGCAAACAAAAGCGAAAGCAUUCAGCGAGCACGUCUCCAUUGG
Molecule: ribosomal RNA, 441 nt
Filed under: uncultured eukaryote
Lineage: Eukaryota
Description: partial 18S ribosomal RNA
Rfam family: Eukaryotic small subunit ribosomal RNA
Source: RNAcentral